GAUCCUGGCUCAGGAUGAACGCUGGCGGCGUGCUUAACACAUGCAAGUCGAACGGGAAUUAUCUUAUUGAAACUUCGGUCGAUUUAAUUUAAUUCUAGUGGCGGACGGGUGAGUAACGCGUGGGUAACCUGCCUUAUACAGGGGGAUAACAGUCAGAAAUGGCUGCUAAUACCGCAUAAGCGCACGGUACUGCAUGGUACAGUGUGAAAAACUCCGGUGGUAUGAGAUGGACCCGCGUUGGAUUAG
Molecule: ribosomal RNA, 246 nt
Filed under: uncultured bacterium
Lineage: Bacteria
Description: partial 16S ribosomal RNA
Rfam family: Bacterial small subunit ribosomal RNA
Source: RNAcentral